RNAcentral lists this ribosomal RNA (87 nucleotides) under Gallibacterium anatis 4895. The record is from RNAcentral. Lineage: Bacteria; Pseudomonadati; Pseudomonadota; Gammaproteobacteria; Pasteurellales; Pasteurellaceae.
UAGCACCACCUGACUCCAUGCCGAACUCAGAAGUGAAAUGUUGUAAUGCCGAUGGUAGUGUGGGGAUUCCCCAUGUGAGAGUAGGUC